AGAGGCUACUGCCAUCAGAGUUCGAUUAAGCCAUGUUAGUCGAGGGUACCUCUUCUUCUUCGGAGGAUGAGGUAACCCGGCGGACGGCUCAGUAACACGUGGAUAACUUGCCCUUGGGUCUGGGAUAACCCCUGGGAAACUGGGGCUAAUACCGGAUAGAGCAUCGAUCGCUGGAGUGCAUGAUGCUCGAAAACUACGGUGCCCAAGGAUAGGUCUGCGGCUGAUUAGGUUGUUGUUGAUGUAAUGGACCAACAAGCCUACGAUCGGUACGGGUUGUGAGAGCAAUAGCCCGGAGAUGGGUUCUGAGAAAAGAACCCAGGUCCUACGGGACGCAUCAGGCGCGAAAACUUUACAAUGUGCGAAAGCACGAUAAGGGAACUCUGAGUGCCCCCUAAGGGGGCUGUUCUAGUGUCUAAAAAGCAAUAGAAGUAAGGGCUGGGCAAGACCGGUGCCAGCCGCCGCGGUAACACCGGCAGCCCAAGUGGUAGCCACGUUUAUUGGGUCUAAAGCGUUCGUAGCCGGCUUGGUAAGUUCCUUGGUAAAUUUAGCCGCUUAACGGUUAAGCUUUCAGGGAAUACUGCUUGGCUUGGGACUGGGAGAGGUCAGAGGUACUCCAGGGGUAGGGGUGAAAUCCAUUAAUCCUUGGGGGACCACCGGUAGCGAAGGCGUCUGACCAGACCAGCUCCGACGGUGAGGGACGAAGGCUAGGGGCGCGAACCGGAUUAGAUACCCGGGUAGUCCUAGCUGUAAACGAUGCGGGCUAGGUGUUGGCAUUACUGCGAGUGGUGCCAGUGCCGAAGGGAAGCCGUUAAGCCCGCCAUCUGGGGAGUACGGUCGCAAGGCUUAAACUUAAAGGAAUUGGCGGGGGAGCAC
This 873-nucleotide ribosomal RNA is filed under the name uncultured archaeon. Its description in RNAcentral is "bacterial SSU rRNA". It matches the Rfam family "Archaeal small subunit ribosomal RNA", at positions 19 to 879 of the family's 1478-position model. The record is from RNAcentral.